GGAUGCUAAUUUUAUGGUC
RNAcentral lists this non-coding RNA (19 nucleotides) under Arabidopsis thaliana (thale cress). The record is from RNAcentral. Lineage: Eukaryota; Viridiplantae; Streptophyta; Magnoliopsida; Brassicales; Brassicaceae.